UAAGUGGAGGUUAAAGCCAUAACUGAUAAAGAAGUAGCUUACGGUAGACAUUUUUUGUCAUUUUUGUGGUUUAGACCAUGUUCACGUUCUGUGUUCCAACAAGACUGUGGAGCGGUCUGGUUUUUGUCUCGACCAUGGUCAAAGAAUGGCCUUGUCUGAUGUUAUCCUGUGAAAUUGUUUUUAUUCCACAGAACAUGGUCCAGACGAGCUCAUAGCAACAUCAAGGUCAGUACCUAGAUGUCUGAGCUGCUUUCUCUUCCUCAGUGCUCAAUAAAUGAUAGUGAAAUCAUGGAAGGUUGAGUCAGAAGUCUUAGAAUCCAACUUGUAACUUUGCUACUGAAGUGCUGCUUAUAACUUUGGACUUGCCACUUACCUUACUUCUCAACUUCUUCAAAUGAGCGUUUUUAAAGCACUUGUUAUGCGUCUGAAACAGUAGAGCUUGGCUGUCGGUUGGAAAGAAGGUAUACAAAAAUGAACAGGACACAGUUUCCUAGGAAGACGGAUCUUAUUUUAAAACGGCAGGACACUGUACCGAGUGCUGAAUUAGGGGCACAUUAGAAGUGGGAUGGGCAGUGAGAGCAGUCGACUGACCAACGAGUGUUGGUCUGGAAGGGAGAGGUAGAGAGAUCUGACCACUUCCCAAGACCACAAGGGAAAAGAAAUGAAAUAAUUAAUGAAGAAUGCUUUUGAGAAUUGUAGAGCAUGGCAUAAUCUUAUUCUCACUAAAAUAACAUCUAUUUUUUUAAGUUUAUUUAUUUUGAGACAGAGAAUGUGUGCAUGUGCAUGGGGGAAGGGCAGAUAGAGAGAGGAAGACAGAGAAUCCCAAGCAGGCUCCUCACUGUCAGCGCCGAACCCGAUGCAGGGCUCAUUCCCACAAGUGGCGAGAUCAUGACCUGAGUCAAAAUCAAGAGUUGGACGCUCAACUGACUGAGCCACCCAGGGGCCGCAAUAACAUUUAUUUUUGUGCUAGGUACAUCCACUUUCUAAAUGUUUUAGCCAGCUUAGACCCUCUUGUUGAGAUAGGAGUAAAAUGAUCACUUCAGGUGCUUGGCCCCUGUAAAAUCAAGGCGGCCAAGGUCAUGCCCCAAAUCGCAGUAUCUUAAAACAGCAAAGGUUUAUUUACCUCUUGAUCUACCUGUCCAUUGCGUCACUGGAGAGCUUUACUCUCUUAUCAUUUUCACUCACAGACACAGACGAAUGGAGCCAUCAUCUGAAUACAAUCACUGGCAUCAAAGCAGAGAAAACAGAAUGUGGUGAAUCUGACACCAGCUUUUAAAGGUUCCCCCAUAGAAAUGAUACAUACCACUUCUGCUCACAUUUGACGGGCCAAAACAAGCCACAGGGCCACAUGAAAAAUUGAAAAAAUUGAAAAUGAAAAAUUUCAUGUGCUCAGAAAGAAGAAAUAUCAGCAAAUAGCUCUAAUGACCUCCGUGUCGCCAAGGCCAUGGUUUCUCACAAAGAUCAAGAGAAAGGAAAAGGCAUUUAAGAGAUGCUCUUUCUUAUGGGCAGGAACAGUUAGUAUCCAAUAUACUUGCAUGCUUUGGUGUUCCUACUCUUCCACUUGGAGAAAGCCAGGCCUUUUUAAUUUACUCUCUGCUGUGUAUCUCUAUGUGAUGAUAAUCAUUAUGCAACCUUCCCCUUGCCAAAUAAUAUUAAAUGCUUGAGUAUGUAUUAAAGAGGCCUUAACCAACUAUCAAUUGGAAUCUGUCACUGUACUAGGGGCUGUCGAUGCAACAAAGAAAGUUAACACGCCACAGUUAAUUUUCAAAGAAACAUGCAUUUAUUUUUUUUAGGAAAAGAUAAAAAUAUAUGAAAGGAGUAAAAAUGAUUCUAAACCGAAGUCUCUGGAUGUCAUCGCAGGCCAGAGAUUGUCAUUCACCCACUGCUAUUGUUACUCCUCACAGGUUCUAAUUCAAACCCUCUUCCCUUAAAGACAGAAAUCAAAAAUAAAGGGUAGGCAUGAGAGAGGAGUGCCCAUCCACUGGGCAUAGUCUCCCUGGCAGUGUUUCUGAAACAUGAGUCAACAGGUCCCCAGGAGGACUUUGAAUUUUCAUGGUUUCAGUUCAGGAUCCAGAAAUUCUCAUGUAAGCAUAUCCUGAAAUUGUAUUGCCACUUGAUAUCCCCUGUAUUUGUAUUUCUGUUUAUGGUACAUUGGUGCUGAGUAGAAAUACUUUAAUAUUUCAGACUAAAAAGAAAAGAAAUGGACUAGAUAUAUAAAUGAGAUGCCCAAGCUAAGUGAAGACAGUGUCCUAUCGUGUUCAAAAUGUUUCCAGAGCAUUCCAGGAAAAAGUGUAGGGGAAUUGAAUCAUUACCUCACAUGUGAAUAGACAUACCGAACUCAAAAGAACCCAUGCUGUACAGGGGCAGUGCCAUAGUCAAGUGGCAAAGACAAAACACCAUAUAGUAGUUACUAGAUUUCAUUGAUGUCAAGAGGAAAGUGGCUUUUUUGCUUCCGAUAAAAUCAGCAGAGUAUGAUGUGAUGAAAAGACCUUAGUCUUACCAAUUACUACUUAGCAAGUGAUGGUCAAUAGUGUGCCGAUAAGAGUCUAAUUAUACAACUCCAAGCACAAAUUGUUGAAAGGGAAUGUUAAUCUGAUCAUAUGACCUUAAUCAAUAAUAUGCCAAAACAGACCUUUAUCUGUGUGAGAAAUUCAUAACCUGACUUCAGUCCCCGGCUUUCUUGACUUCUGUUACCUUGAACGCUGUUGAACAAAUUCCUUCUCCUUGAAAUGUUUUCUCCCUUUGGGGUCCAUGACACGUCUCUAUUUUUCUCCUACUUGAAGAGCUCCUUCGCUUCCUCGCUGGGCUUGCUUCCCAAAUGGUACUACUCCUCAGGUUCCUUCUCAGCUGUCUUCCUCUCUGGAGUCAAUCACAUCCUCACUGUGAUUCAACUACCAAUGCAGCCAUCACUUCCAAAUCUCAAGCUCACCUGCUACUCUUGAACUUGACACCCAGAACUUCCACCUGAGUAUUUAAAAAAGCCACUGCAUAGUUUUAAAUGUCCCAAACAGAUAUUCUCUUCUUGUAAAUCUUGCAAAGGGACCAAGGAUUUCCCUAGCAAAUCAGAAAUCCUGGCUCUUUCCCUUUAGGGUUUCAAACCAAAGGGAAGGUUAUAACCCUUCUGAUGGGUUAUAACCCUUCUGAUGUGCUGGGAUGGUCCUACCUAAGUUAAGUGGCCGGAAAUAUACAAUAAUGGCCCUCAAGAAGAAAUCCACCAUCAUGACGGCAGUGGUGGUGAUGGUGGUGGUGGAGUGAAAGGGCUGGGCUGGUAAGCCAGGUCAACACCAGGGCCUGUCUGGUCUUAAGGGGAAGGUCAGUUGCUCACAAAGUGAUGAUGUUACAUCCUGUCCUGACCCACCAUCUUGGACCUUGGGGUUCCUUAAGAGAAAUAGUUGAUUAUCUGUACAUGAAAAUAUUUGUCACUAGAGUUGUAAUUGGGAACCCAGUCUCCUAUAGUGUGGAGUAACCAUCAGUAACCUCUCUCCCUCCAGUCUGUGCAGCACUAUCUGCAGUGGGUUAAGCCUCCGACCUUUAGACAUGGGAGCUGGACUUCCUGUUUUCUGAACCAGUCUCACAGAAGCAGAAGUGAGAACCUUAGGCAGUCAGAUCAGACUUCUCAAUUUCUUUUCUGAAUAACAGAAAUAAACAAGAUUGACUCAUUGGAUGAGUCAUGCGUGUGUGAUGAAAUCCCGGCCCAUGAAGUGUUUGAAGCCAGCUGCAAAGAUUCAGUCUUAAAAAGAGAGUACCGUGGACUGUAGGGGUUGGGGAGGCUCGGGAGGAAGGAAAAGAGACCAAAGCAAAACAAAGCAACAACAACACAAACAGGAAAUAGAAAGGAAGACUGAGCCAGAUUGUGGAGCCUUCAGUAAAUGAUGAAGCAAGACAGGAAGUUUGGAAGAUAACAGCAAUGUGGAAAGGAAGUGUGCAGCAGAUAGAAAUUUGUUUCAUGAUGUUCAGGAACACGAAACAUGGCUUUUAUGUUGGAUGACAAAUCAAAUCCGGCUCUAAGACCCCACUUCCUGGUUGGUGGCAUAGUUGAUGUUGGUGAUUACUGGGACUCCUAGUGCCCUCCUGUACUGAGUCCUUUAACAGAAUCCCAGGGUUUACCUGGUCAUAGGGUGGUGGCUGCCACUAUAUCACACAUUGUGCUUCCAUUGCGCAAUGUGGUUGUCCAGCCCAGCCGUGCUCCCCAGGUGGGCUGCAAUGGUGCCCGUGGUGCCCAAUGGGCGUCUCCAUUGACGGCUGCUCAACCACAGUGGACCCUCACUGGUGCGGCUGAGCCUCGUGGAUUUAGACUCCAGCCUCUAGAGAUAUCCAUUCACCCUGACGCGGGUCCAGCCAUAUCUAGGACGUGUGGAAACAGGUCAGGCUUCCAGCACGCCUGGAAUUCAUCACAGGUCAUUCACAAGUUAUUGAGCACUCCAAAGA
Molecule: long non-coding RNA, 4428 nt
Organism: Neofelis nebulosa (Clouded leopard)
Lineage: Eukaryota; Metazoa; Chordata; Mammalia; Carnivora; Felidae
Exons: 4
Source: RefSeq, a predicted model, not a curated record